Long non-coding RNA from Osmia bicornis bicornis, 1385 nucleotides. RefSeq lists it as uncharacterized. The record is from RefSeq and is a predicted model, not a curated record. The transcript has 3 exons. Lineage: Eukaryota; Metazoa; Arthropoda; Insecta; Hymenoptera; Megachilidae.
AUUACAUCGCGUUUCGUUUUGCACCGUAAAUGAGAACACUGAAAUUCGCGACUAAACGCUGAUUUGUAAUUUUAAUUAAUUACAGCAAAUAGUCUCACGUUGUAUCUUAAUUAUGAUUGAGUGUUAGUACGUGGUUCUAGUUGAUCAGUGAGAUACUUAUCGUGGUCUUAUGGAAAAUUAAAUACCGUUAUGUUGUUCGAUGUAGAUAAAAAAGUGACCAGAAUUUUAUUUGCGAUUAAGUUCUGGUAUCUUUCUAUUUGUUAACAAUCGUUGCUUAAUGAUGGUAGAUGAUUAAUCAUCCGAGAAGACAACAAACUGGUUCGAACAAGGAAUUCCGAGACUGGUCUGCAGUCGGACAACCAAUCAUCCCGGACAAGGGCAAGGGGGAGGGGAACGAGGCCAGGAACGUAAUCUUACGUAUCAAUUAGCUUCACGGUCCGAGGGACUUACCCCCCGCGGGCCUUUGACCGUGUGCCGCUUCGUCUUCGAGGUGUGAGAACCAAGACACUCUGCGCCACAGUCGUUUUACAACGUCUUCAUCGUCCGUUGCCUGUCUUUCUCGUCUUCCUCUUUUCUCCUCGCCGCUCGCACGAGAGAGAGAACGAAGAACAACGCAGCUGGACAGAAUGUGAGCGGAGACAGGAAGUAAGCCGGCCCAAUUUCGCUACAUCUGGUUUCUCUAAUGAACCAUGAAAAAAAAUAAAUUACCAACGAAGACCGUUGAUCCAAGAUGAUGAAAAAGCCCGUAAAUCUUCGGCUAGUAUAGUAAUUUAAUAACGGAUCGGUAUAGGUAUGCGAGACCGACACCUUAUUUAGGCGACGGUUAGGGUCCUCCGCUGUCCUCUUACAUCCAUAAAUAAUCAUUUCGGGAUUUAAAAAGAAAAAAAUAUGAAAAAGGAAGGCAGCACUCCUGGAAUCCGUGUAUUAGUCGGCCGAAGCAUCCGGAAAUUCGACUUUCGGCCGCCACUUUGUGGACCCGCUUUAAACUUGACGACGAAAUCCUUAAUGGACUCUUAAUUUUGAAAAAUGACUCUACUUUGAAUACGCGCUAAUUAAAUUUGCUAAAAUAAUAUAUUUUUCUCUUUUACAUAUCAGUUGAAUAUUAAUCACAUUAUCGUUUAUACCUAUCUUGCUAUUAUUAAUAAGGAUAAUUAUCAAUAAUUAUAUUUUCAUCUGAGUAGCAUACUAAUUGGUAUUUUCUAUACUAAAAUAGUAAAAAGUUGUAUAAAUUAAUUCAAUGCUUUCGCAGCUUGAACAGCAAAGCCUAAGUCAAUCGUUUGAAAAUUGGGGCUCUCUUCAUGGUCCGUCAUCCGAAAAUUAAAUUUCAUUAUAUCUCCGCGCUUUUGUGUAUUUGAAAAGUGACAGUGAAUAUAACAAUAAAAAUC